RNAcentral lists this transfer RNA (73 nucleotides) under Camelus bactrianus (Bactrian camel). It matches the Rfam family "tRNA". Rfam says of the family: Transfer RNA (tRNA) molecules are approximately 80 nucleotides in length. Their secondary structure includes four short double-helical elements and three loops (D, anti-codon, and T loops). Lineage: Eukaryota; Metazoa; Chordata; Mammalia; Artiodactyla; Camelidae. The record is from Rfam by way of RNAcentral. RNAcentral also lists the same sequence under 2 other names.
GAGGGGAUAGCUCAAGUGGUAGAGAGCAUGCUUAGCAUAUAUGAGGUCCUGGGUUUAAUUCCCAGUACCUCCU